RNAcentral lists this ribosomal RNA (503 nucleotides) under uncultured bacterium. Its description in RNAcentral is "partial 16S ribosomal RNA". It matches the Rfam family "Bacterial small subunit ribosomal RNA", at positions 30 to 523 of the family's 1533-position model. The record is from RNAcentral.
AUUGAACGCUGGCGGCAGGCUUAACACAUGCAAGUCGAGCGGGGUGAUGGUGCUUGCACUAUCACUUAGCGGCGGACGGGUGAGUAAUGCUUAGGAAUCUGCCUAUUAGUGGGGGACAACAUCUCGAAAGGGAUGCUAAUACCGCAUACGUCCUACGGGAGAAAGCAGGGGAUCACUUGUGACCUUGCGCUAAUAGAUGAGCCUAAGUCGGAUUAGCUAGUUGGUGGGGUAAAGGCCUACCAAGGCGACGAUCUGUAGCGGGUCUGAGAGGAUGAUCCGCCACACUGGGACGGGGAAACGGCCCAGACUCCUACGGGAGGCAGCAGUGGGGAAUAUUGGACAAUGGGGGGAACCCUGAUCCAGCCAUGCCGCGUGUGUGAAGAAGGCCUUAUGGUUGUAAAGCACUUUAAGCGAGGAGGAGGCUCUUUUGGUUAAUACCCAAGAUGAGUGGACGUUACUCGCAGAAUAAGCACCGGCUAACUCUGUGCCAGCCGCCGCCGUAA